GCUCCUGAGUUGGCUCAAUUGGCAGAGCAAGAGACUUUUCAUCUCAGGGUUGUGGGUUCGAGCCCCACGUUGGGCA
Podarcis lilfordi (Lilford's wall lizard) is the source of this 76-nucleotide non-coding RNA. The record is from the annotation of a GenBank genome assembly. NCBI's taxonomy places the organism in Eukaryota, Metazoa, Chordata, Lepidosauria, Squamata, Lacertidae.